This 253-nucleotide ribosomal RNA is filed under the name uncultured bacterium. RNAcentral's name for it is "partial 16S ribosomal RNA". It matches the Rfam family "Bacterial small subunit ribosomal RNA", at positions 524 to 776 of the family's 1533-position model. The record is from RNAcentral.
UACGGGGGGGGCAAGCGUUGUUCGGAAUUACUGGGCGUAAAGGGCUCGUAGGCGGCCAACUAAGUCAGACGUGAAAUCCCUCGGCUUAAUCGGGGAACUGCGUCUGAUACUGGAUGGCUCGAGUUUGGGAGAGGGAUGCGGAAUUCCAGGUGUAGCGGUGAAAUGCGUAGAUAUCUGGAGGAACACCGAUGGCGAAGGCAGGUCUCUGGGCCGAUACUGACGCUGAGGAGCGAAAGCGUGGGGAGCGAACAGG